RNAcentral lists this ribosomal RNA (360 nucleotides) under uncultured eukaryote. Its description in RNAcentral is "bacterial SSU rRNA". It matches the Rfam family "Eukaryotic small subunit ribosomal RNA", at positions 622 to 957 of the family's 1831-position model. The record is from RNAcentral.
AAUAGAGUAGAGUUAAAAGCUCGUAGUUGGAUUUCAGGUUUUGGGCCGGAUGGUCUAGUCGCAAGACUUGUACUGUUGGACUUAACCUUUUUUUAUAAACUUUCCAAAGACUUUGCGUGCUCUUCACUGAGAUGCGCAACAGGACUUGGGACUUUUACUUUGAAAAAAUUAGAGUGUUCAAAGCAGGCAUUUUCGCUUGAAUACAUUAGCAUGGAAUAAUGGAAUAGGACUUUGGUCUUAUUUUGUUGGUUUCUAGGACCGAAGUAAUGAUUAAUAGGGACAGUUGGGGGCAUUAGUAUUUAAUUGUCAGAGGUGAAAUUCUCUGGAUUUAUGAAAGACUAAUUUCUGCGAAAGCAUAUA